Molecule: long non-coding RNA, 887 nt
Filed under: Gallus gallus (chicken)
Lineage: Eukaryota; Metazoa; Chordata; Aves; Galliformes; Phasianidae
Description: lncRNA (ENSGALG00010011376.1)
Source: RNAcentral
CCGUCCUGCCGCGAGGCGCGGCCCUUCCCGCCCGGCACCGCCGCCCCCCGCGCGAGCCCUCCCCGCGUGGCUGAAGGAAAGCUGCCUCCUUGUUUUUUUUUCGUCUUUUCUUCCGCUCUUUUGGAAAGGAUCGGAGGGAAAACACCGCUGGUGUUGCAGGGGGUGGCACGCUGGCUGGUCGCUUCCGAAGCGGGGCUGAUGUUACUUGGUGCCGCUGGUUGCAUGGAGCCGCUUUUGCCCACUACCACUGGAUAGGAAGACAGGUGAUCAAGUGAUAUCUACAGUAACUGUAGCAGGUUUCACCACAAGGAUUCUGUUGCGCUUGAAACCUUAUCCUUUCUGGGUGAUGUCAAGGCUCCGCAGAGCAUACUCAGAAGAACAUCGUAAAGCUUUGGUGAAGAAAGAUAAAGAUGAAUUCUGCACCUGGAAGAUUGCCUGAGGAAAACUGGCCCAAGCAGUUGAAUUUUAGCGAAGGGGUGAUGUUGCCUGUUCCUUCUUUUGGAAGUAGACUCUCUUUUUCUCCUGGAGCCUGAGAAGAAGUUCCCUGUUCUUCAUAGAAUCAUAGAAUGGCCUGGAUUGAAAAGGACCAUAAUGAUCAUCGAGUUUCAUCCCGGUCUUCUUCUCCGCUGCCUCAUCUUCUGGCACAGGGGGACAGCCUGCUUCUGCACCUUUAAGACUUACUUCUUGAGUGUCCAGCCUUUCUGUAUCCCUUUGCCCUUCAGGAGUGAACCUCAAGAGACCCUCCCUACCAGUGUUGUGAGUAGUUCAAAGUCUGCCCUUCGGAAGUCCAAUGUGGCAGUUUUGCUGGCCCUGCUCCUAACUUCACCAAGCAUAGAGAACUCUACCAUUUUGUGGCCGCCCUUCCCAAGACUGCUCCUGGCCUCUAC